Molecule: ribosomal RNA, 618 nt
Filed under: uncultured bacterium
Lineage: Bacteria
Description: bacterial SSU rRNA
Rfam family: Bacterial small subunit ribosomal RNA
Source: RNAcentral
GCAUUAGCUAGUUGGUAAGGUAACGGCUUACCAAGGCGAUGAUGCAUAGCCGAGUUGAGAGACUGAUCGGCCACAAUGGAACUGAGACACGGUCCAUACUCCUACGGGAGGCAGCAGUAGGGAAUCUUCCACAAUGGGCGCAAGCCUGAUGGAGCAACACCGCGUGAGUGAAGAAGGGUUUCGGCUCGUAAAGCUCUGUUGUUGGAGAAGAACGUGCGUGAGAGUAACUGUUCACGCAGUGACGGUAUCCAACCAGAAAGUCACGGCUAACUACGUGCCAGCAGCCGCGGUAAUACGUAGGUGGCAAGCGUUAUCCGGAUUUAUUGGGCGUAAAGCGAGCGCAGGCGGUUGCUUAGGUCUGAUGUGAAAGCCUUCGGCUUAACCGAAGAAGUGCAUCGGAAACCGGGCGACUUGAGUGCAGAAGAGGACAGUGGAACUCCAUGUGUAGCGGUGGAAUGCGUAGAUAUAUGGAAGAACACCAGUGGCGAAGGCGGCUGUCUGGUCUGCAACUGACGCUGAGGCUCGAAAGCAUGGGUAGCGAACAGGAUUAGAUACCCUGGUAGUCCAUGCCGUAAACGAUGAGUGCUAGGUGUUGGAGGGUUUCCGCCCUUCAGUGCC